UACGUAGGGUGCAAGCGUUAAUCGGAAUUACUGGGCGUAAAGCGUGCGCAGGCGGUUUUGUAAGUCUGUCGUGAAAGCCCCGGGCUCAACCUGGGAAUUGCGAUGGAGACUGCAAGGCUUGAAUCUGGCAGAGGGGGGUAGAAUUCCACGUGUAGCAGUGAAAUGCGUAGAGAUGAGGAGGAACACCGAUGGCGAAGGCAGCCCCCUGGGUCAAGAUUGACGCUCAUGCACGAAAGCGUGGGUAGCAAACAGG
This 253-nucleotide ribosomal RNA is filed under the name uncultured bacterium. Its description in RNAcentral is "partial 16S ribosomal RNA". It matches the Rfam family "Bacterial small subunit ribosomal RNA", at positions 524 to 776 of the family's 1533-position model. The record is from RNAcentral.